Molecule: microRNA precursor, 85 nt
Organism: Nicotiana attenuata
Lineage: Eukaryota; Viridiplantae; Streptophyta; Magnoliopsida; Solanales; Solanaceae
Rfam family: MIR6152 microRNA precursor family
Source: Rfam
UGGACAGAUUAUUGUAUUUGACUGUAUUUGACUGUAUUCACUGUUUUUAAAACGGAAAGCGAAUCAAUUAACAUAAUAGACUCCU